GAUGAACGCUAGCUACAGGCUUAACACAUGCAAGUCGAGGGGAAACGACAUCGAAAGCUUGCUUUUGGUGGGCGUCGACCGGCGCACGGGUGAGUAACGCGUAUCCAACCUGCCCACCACUUGGGGAUAACCUUGCGAAAGUAAGACUAAUACCCAAUGAUAUCCCACGAAGGCAUCGGAAUGGGAUUAAAGAUUUAUCGGUGAUGGAUGGGGAUGCGUCUGAUUAGCUUGUUGGCGGGGUAACGGCCCACCAAGGCAACGAUCAGUAGGGGUUCUGAGAGGAAGGUCCCCCACAUUGGAACUGAGACACGGUCCAAACUCCUACGGGAGGCAGCAGUGAGGAAUAUUGGUCAAUGGGCGAGAGCCUGAACCAGCCAAGUAGCGUGCAGGACGACGGCCCUAUGGGUUGUAAACUGCUUUUAUAAGGGAAUAAAGUGGGUCUCGUGAGACUUUUUGCAUGUACCUUAUGAAUAAGGACCGGCUAAUUCCGUG
Molecule: ribosomal RNA, 492 nt
Filed under: uncultured bacterium
Lineage: Bacteria
Description: bacterial SSU rRNA
Rfam family: Bacterial small subunit ribosomal RNA
Source: RNAcentral